UUAACUCAAAUUUGUGUAUGGAGUUGGAACGUUUGCCUACGUUUGCCGCUAGGGGCGCUGUUCCAACUAAAUGCAAAUUUGAGUUA
Bombyx mori (domestic silkworm) is the source of this 86-nucleotide non-coding RNA. The record is from Rfam. NCBI's taxonomy places the organism in Eukaryota, Metazoa, Arthropoda, Insecta, Lepidoptera, Bombycidae.